CCUGAUCCAGCAAUGCCGCGUGUGGGAUGAAGGCCUUCGGGUUGUAAACCACUUUUGGCGGGGGCGAAAUAUCGAGUGCUAAUACCAUUCGGUGAUGACGGUACCCGCAGAAUAAGCACCGGCUAACUACGUGCCAGCAGCCGCGGUAAUAA
This 152-nucleotide ribosomal RNA is filed under the name uncultured Thiomonas sp. RNAcentral describes it as "partial 16S ribosomal RNA". It matches the Rfam family "Bacterial small subunit ribosomal RNA", at positions 382 to 526 of the family's 1533-position model. Lineage: Bacteria; Pseudomonadati; Pseudomonadota; Betaproteobacteria; Burkholderiales. The record is from RNAcentral.